UACAGAGGGUGCAAGCGUUAAUCGGAAUUACUGGGCGUAAAGCGUGCGUAGGUGGUUCUUUAAGUCAGGUGUGAAAUCCCUGGGCUCAACCUGGGAACUGCAUUUGAUACUGAAGAGCUAGAGUGUGGUAGAGGAUAGUGGAAUUCCCGGUGUAGCGGUGAAAUGCGUAGAUAUCGGGAGGAACAUCAGUGGCGAAGGCGGCUAUCUGGACUAACACUGACACUGAGGCACAAAAGCGUGGGUAGCAAACAGG
RNAcentral lists this ribosomal RNA (253 nucleotides) under uncultured bacterium. Its description in RNAcentral is "partial 16S ribosomal RNA". It matches the Rfam family "Bacterial small subunit ribosomal RNA", at positions 524 to 776 of the family's 1533-position model. The record is from RNAcentral.